AAUUCUUGGGCAGGGAUCAAGCUGUCUGCCACCAGCAGGGAGAGCUCCUGGAAGCAGGGGAGGAAAUCCUGGAAGAAGAUGUGGGCCAGACAGCCCACCGCACGAAUAAACCCACUAGUGCCUUGCUCCCAGUGCCUCCCAGGUGGUGGCAACAUGGAGAAACCAUGGGGCCUGAUUUCCAGGCAGUUCCUCGGAGCGAUGAACCAGAGACCGGGUGGCUGAACGAGAAGAUCCUAGGAGGGUCCAAGACGAGGUCCAGCAGAGGCACCUAGGAACCAUCAGUGACGGCAGCAGGCCGGGCCACGUGACUGCAGUCAGCCACUUCCUUGAGACCCAGGAUUGCUUACUGGUUUUGUAUUAUCUGUGGAUCUGUGCCCCUCGAGUCCCCUUAAAAUGUCAGCAAAUCCCACAGAGACAAUCUGAAGCGAGACAAGGGUUAAGAAGAGUCUUCAUGAAGUGUUGCUUUUAGAAAUUCUGGCCAGCUUAACCCACAGGGAGCUCACCGAGCCUGGGCUCUUCUGAGUCUUCUGCGAAAAUGUUUUACCCAAACAGACUCUUCCCAUUAAACGGGAUCAAACCAAGUGGUCGUUUGCCAGUGUGCUGCCUACAUCGUUGACACCUUCCCUCUGAGCUGUGUGACACCAGCCCCUCCCUCCAGCGAGCAGGGCAGGAAAAAAGCUACAAAGCACUGACCGAAUGAAUCCUGCUGGGCAAGCGCCAGGCAACCAAGAGCACUGCAUUUUGGAUGCAAGGCUCUAGUUGGUAGGUGAGAACCCUGGAACCAGAAGUAGGCUGGGAAUGCAUGGAUAUUGGGAACUUCACCAGGAAUUCCUCAAGACUUUCUACACCAUGUAAGAGAUAUAUUUUAUGUGUGAUCCCGUACACAUACAGCUGCAAGUGGACACAGAUACUAACAUACAACAGAAACCAGCUCCUAGAACUCACCCUGCUAACUCUGCUUGCCAAGGAAUAUCCAUUUAAAAACCAUUUCUUGAAUGAACCAAGCAAAACCAAACCCUAGUGAGACAAUACAUUCACCAGGUGCAAUGCACUCUGAUAUUUUCUAUUCUAUUUCUAUUCUUCAUUUCUUAAAAAAGGUAACAAUUUGCAACCCACUAAAGUAAUGUUGCCACGGAGAGGCCCCUGUUUUGGAAGGACCGUUAUGCACUGCCUGCCCCCUCUCUGAAGAUUACAGAAACUUGUCAUGUGGGAAGCCGGGGACUGGUGGCAUUGGAGGCAAGCAGGAUGACACUGGGAUAUAACCAGGUGGGGAGAGGAAGCCUGUUGGGUGAAGCCAUGGGGGAGCCACACUGCUGGCUAAGGGCCAAGGCGCUGCUCUCUGGCUGAGGACUAAGUUCCAACUCCCCUCUUCCAGUCCACACACUGCCACUGUCCCCACACAGGAAACUGUCUUCACACCCAGGAAGAGUUUGCAAAUGGAGUCAGGCUGGCAAUUGCUCCACUUAGGUAUCACUCGAAGGACCAGGAGUGGGGAAAUGAGGGUUGUUUAAGCUGCUGUGAAAAUCAUGGAGUAACCUGGUAAAUGAAAAAUCCACUCUGACCCACAAGAAGCACUAAAGUGAGGAAUUAAACAACUUUGUAAAUAAAGGGAUCAUUACUCUUGAAGCAUUAAUACACGCAUAAGACCUAUUGAAAACAUCCCAUUUCAAGAUAAAUGAAGAGCAUUAGCUGCUCAUUUCCCAAUCUGGAUGGGCUGUUUUCACAGCCCAGCACUGGGGGUCUGAGGCCUGGGUCAGCAGGGGCUGGCUCAGGUGGCUUGCUAGUGGGGCUGCACAGGGACUCAGGAGGGGACCGUUUCUGCAUUUCUGCUACAGUGAAGGUUGUAAUCACAGCCCUGCUUUUCACUAAGGGGAGGUGCCCACUGCACACCUGAUGAAGUCGGGAGGAAAGUUCUAGACCAGUGCAUUUGCCUCCUCCAAGUUUCAUCAUCAUUCACCAAAUAAGCAUAAUUGCUCCGUGUUUAAGAGGUGCUGGGAACAGGGGCGCUGCCUGUAAUUGCCUAAUGGGCGGGCGAAAUGAGGUGUGAGGCACAUUGGUGUGAAAAAAGCAAUAGCCACAAGUUUAUUAACAUUGAAAAUUAAAAUAAGCUCAGCCCCAGCCAGGCAGUCCUUGCUGAAAUGAAUCCCAUUAUCCCUCUAAUAACUGCACAGGGCUCAAUUGGAUGCCCCCCAGGAGAGGAAACACAAACAGCCCUGCCUCCCCUGCAGCUCCUCCAGCUCCACUUAAAUCCACGGGCAGGUGCUUGGGGAGCUGUGAAGGGGGAGCCUGGAGAGAAUUACAUGCAAUUCUGACCUGGGUGCCUUUUUGAAUAGUUGCUGAUUGGAAUUUUCAAAAGCAAGCUGUAAGGUUCUGGAACUGACUGUCACCAGGUCCAUGUGAAGGAGGUCAGGAGCCCUGACUGGGGCUCAGCAACCAGCCCUGCCUUCUUUUUUGCACCUUGAUCAUGUAAUCAAAUAUUUCUAGAUGCCCAGGGCUAGGAGGAGAGUUGCCCUUGACCUUGAGCAGAUUCAAUCAAUGUAGGAAACAAGGCUCUCCUGGGGAGAAUAAUCAGAAAGCAAUCAGUGAAUGCUGCAGCCCAGAGCCUAAUGAAAAUGCAUCCAGCCUCUCAUUUCUUGGCGUUGACCUCCCUGCUCAACAGAGGGCACCCCAAUGCCUGUGCUAGAUCAGCCCCCUCCCCGACUCAAGGUCUCUCCUCUACAACUUGUUCCUUCUGGCUCCUGACAGCAUGCAAACCUGCAGCGAUUUUUCUCUUGCUAAAGAAACAAAAACUAAAACUAAACCUCUCUUGCCCUCGAAUUUCCGUUCCUGUCCCAUUUCUCUGCUCCCCUUCACAGGAUGGUUCCUCAAAAAAGCCGUCUGCACUGAUACCCUGCGCCGCCUCUCCCCCCAUCCCCCCCUGAGGGCGCCCCAGUCAGGCUUGGCCCCACUCCUUCACCACACGGUUCUUGUCACCAGUGACCAAAUGCUGCCACAUGCAAUGAGCAACCCCUUCAUCCUCAUCCUAUUCAAGCUCCUGGCAGCUUUCUUCACAUGGCUCCCAGGAUACUGCUUCUUCUCAGUCUCCAGCUGGUUUCUUCCCAUUUUUUUGCAACCUCUAAAUAUUAGAGUGUCCUAAAGGCUGGUCUUUGGACCUCUUCUCUCUCUAAACUAGUUGGCCUCAUCCAGCCUCUUUACGGCUGUAAACACCAGUUCUUUGCUAACAAGUCCCAGAUUUAUAUCUCCAGUGUGGACCACCCCAGGCUCCACAGACAUCUCUACUGGAUGUCUAACAGGCAUCUCAAAUUUCAUAUCUCCAAAAACGAACUCCUGCUUCCUGCCCCACCUCCCACUCCUGCGUGACCCACACAUGCAUCACCUCCUCUUCCCGCAACCGUCUCAGGGCAUGUCCUUUGCUUGGGACCAAAAUCUUAGUCCCCUGGACCCUUUCACAUCCCCACUUUCUGAUCCAUCAGCAAAUCUGUUUUCAACCUCUGUCCAGACUCUGACCACUUCUCACCACCUCCACUGCACCGUCCCGCUCCAAACCACCAUCCUGUGCCAGGGUGAUGGCAACAGCCGCCUAGCUGGUCUCCCUGCCUCCCCGCUUGCCCCCAAAUCAGCAGUGCUCAACACAGCAGGGACCCUUUUAAAGUAAAUGCAAACCAUGUCACUUCUCUGUUCAAAGCCUUCUAACGACCUCGCAGGUCACUCAGAAUGAAGUCCAACAUUCUCGCAAUGGCCUGAAAAGUCCCACACUCUCGGGCCCCAGCUCCUUCUCUGUCUGCGCCCGCCCUCUCUUGCUCUGCUCAACACGCUGGCCCCUUGCUGUUUCUCAAACACGCCUCAGAUGCUCCCUCCUCACCUUUUUACCUACGGCUCCUUCAGUCUGAAACUGAAUUCUCCAGAUAGUCACAUGGCCCACGUCCUCCAGCUCCCCCAGAGCUGGUCGGUGUCACCUCCCCAGUGAAGUCUUUCCUGACCAUCCUACCUAAGAUGCAUACACAGUGCCCUCUGGUUCGCCUCUUCUGUUUAACUCUUCUCCAUUCAGCCUGUCACCGCCUGUUAAACCACGCUGUACUUGUCACUCAUUCAUCAUCUCUCCUUGAGAAUAUAAGUUUAUUUGGGGCAGGAGCUAUGUCAGAGCCUAAUCUGUAGCAAGAGCUCAGGAAACACGAGCUGAGUGGACAAUGUUUAUUUAAACCCUCUCUUUUAAGCACCUGCCAUGUACGAGGAAGGACACGUCCCUCUGCUCUAGCCAGCCUUUGCCCCAUGGCUCAACAUCCAAGGCCUGACAACUCCCAUGAAUGCCACAAAAAGCACCUUGAACACGGGGUGUUGCUGGCCUCCCCUUUCACCCAUGCCCACACCCUUCAGGAUUACCAAGGUGAGUUUAUUCCCGUCCUCUGUUCCCUCGCCUAGGAAAUUAGUUUUCUGCUGCCAGCUGCUGCCUGGUUGCCUCUCUCCAAAACAAAAGUAAUUGACCAUAACCCACAGUUUCCUUCCAUUAAGCUAAAGAAGCUGUGGCCGGGAUGUCAAGUUUCAGCUUUUCCAUUUACUUACUAUGGGAUUUUGCCCAAGUUUCUGAAUCCCCUGAUUCUCAGUUUUCUUAAAAAUAGUAUGGGAAAAGUAAAGCUAACUGCCAGAGUUAUUGCGGGAUUAAAUAAAAUGGAGAAUAGAUAAUACUUGGCACAUAGUACUUGCUCACUAAAUGUUGGUUGUCUUUCUCUUCCCACUGGAAGGUGAUCCUAGAACUCCUCUGAAAUCACAAUUUCUAACCCAGGACCUGACCACAGCCCUCCAGAUGGAGAUGCUUGAUGGAGACCAGCAGUGUCUGUCCGAGCCCCCUUCCCCUCCCCCCUCCCCCUUCCCCCUCUUCCUUCACCCUAGCCCACAGAGGGACAGGCUGCCCUUGGCACCCCUCUUGCAUUUAUGGCAGUCCUUCUCCGUCCUGCAAGGGCGGUGAACUGAAUUCAGAAAAAUGACAGGUCGUUACAAAUAUAUUGCAUGCUGUAAAAUAAAAGAAUGUCCUUGUUAGAAAGCCAAAUGACUUACUUUGGGAAUAACUUUAAAUGAUAGGCAUAAGACAGUGCAAAUGCAGCAUGCACGUGUUACACUUUGCUAUAGUCCGUUAAAUAUACAUGUGGGGCUCCCG
Molecule: long non-coding RNA, 5152 nt
Filed under: Sus scrofa (pig)
Lineage: Eukaryota; Metazoa; Chordata; Mammalia; Artiodactyla; Suidae
Description: lncRNA (ENSSSCG00030001167.1)
Source: RNAcentral